Molecule: ribosomal RNA, 499 nt
Filed under: Streptomyces sp. IV0_E
Lineage: Bacteria; Bacillati; Actinomycetota; Actinomycetes; Kitasatosporales; Streptomycetaceae
Description: bacterial SSU rRNA
Rfam family: Bacterial small subunit ribosomal RNA
Source: RNAcentral
AGAGUUUGAUCCUGGCUCAGGACGAACGCUGGCGGCGUGCUUAACACAUGCAAGUCGAACGAUGAAGCCCUUCGGGGUGGAUUAGUGGCGAACGGGUGAGUAACACGUGGGCAAUCUGCCCUUCACUCUGGGACAAGCCCUGGAAACGGGGUCUAAUACCGGAUAACACUCCUGCCUGCAUGGGCGGGGGUUAAAAGCUCCGGCGGUGAAGGAUGAGCCCGCGGCCUAUCAGCUUGUUGGUGGGGUAAUGGCCCACCAAGGCGACGACGGGUAGCCGGCCUGAGAGGGCGACCGGCCACACUGGGACUGAGACACGGCCCAGACUCCUACGGGAGGCAGCAGUGGGGAAUAUUGCACAAUGGGCGAAAGCCUGAUGCAGCGACGCCGCGUGAGGGAUGACGGCCUUCGGGUUGUAAACCUCUUUCAGCAGGGAAGAAGCGAAAGUGACGGUACCUGCAGAAGAAGCGCCGGCUAACUACGUGCCAGCAGCCGCGGUAAU